GUGCCAGCAGCCGCGGUAAUACGGAGGGUGCAAGCGUUAAUCGGAAUUACUGGGCGUAAAGCGCACGCAGGCGGUCUGACAAGUCGGAUGUGAAAUCCCCGGGCUCAACCCGGGAACUGCAUUCGAAACUGUCAGGCUGGAGUCUUGUAGAGGGGGUAGAAUUCCAGGUGUAGCGGUGAAAUGCGUAGAGAUCUGGAGGAAUACCGGUGGCGAAGGCGGCCCCCUGGACAAAGACUGACGCUCAGGUGCGAAAGCGUGGGAGCAAACAGGAUUAGAUACCCUGGUAGUCCACGCCGUAAACGAUGUCUAUUGGAGGUUGUGCCCUUGAGGCGUGGCUUCCGGAGCUAACGCGUUAAAUAGACCGCCGUGGGGAGUACCGGCCGACGAAGGUUAAAACUCAAAUGAA
RNAcentral lists this ribosomal RNA (406 nucleotides) under uncultured Salmonella sp. Its description in RNAcentral is "bacterial SSU rRNA". It matches the Rfam family "Bacterial small subunit ribosomal RNA", at positions 505 to 909 of the family's 1533-position model. Lineage: Bacteria; Pseudomonadati; Pseudomonadota; Gammaproteobacteria; Enterobacterales; Enterobacteriaceae. The record is from RNAcentral.